Molecule: ribosomal RNA, 793 nt
Filed under: uncultured Staphylococcus sp.
Lineage: Bacteria; Bacillati; Bacillota; Bacilli; Caryophanales; Staphylococcaceae
Description: bacterial SSU rRNA
Rfam family: Bacterial small subunit ribosomal RNA
Source: RNAcentral
AAUACAUGCAAGUCGAGCGAACAGACGAGGAGCUUGCUCCUCUGACGUUAGCGGCGGACGGGUGAGUAACACGUGGAUAACCUACCUAUAAGACUGGGAUAACUUCGGGAAACCGGAGCUAAUACCGGAUAAUAUAUUGAACCGCAUGGUUCAAUAGUGAAAGACGGUUUUGCUGUCACUUAUAGAUGGAUCCGCGCCGCAUUAGCUAGUUGGUAAGGUAACGGCUUACCAGGGCAACGAUGCGUAGCCGACCUGAGAGGGUGAUCGGCCACACUGGAACUGAGACACGGUCCAGACUCCUACGGGAGGCAGCAGUAGGGAAUCUUCCGCAAUGGGCGAAAGCCUGACGGAGCAACGCCGCGUGAGUGAUGAAGGUCUUCGGAUCGUAAAACUCUGUUAUUAGGGAAGAACAAAUGUGUAAGUAACUAUGCACGUCUUGACGGUACCUAAUCAGAAAGCCACGGCUAACUACGUGCCAGCAGCCGCGGUAAUACGUAGGUGGCAAGCGUUAUCCGGAAUUAUUGGGCGUAAAGCGCGCGUAGGCGGUUUUUUAAGUCUGAUGUGAAAGCCCACGGCUCAACCGUGGAGGGUCAUUGGAAACUGGAAAACUUGAGUGCAGAAGAGGAAAGUGGAAUUCCAUGUGUAGCGGUGAAAUGCGCAGAGAUAUGGAGGAACACCAGUGGCGAAGGCGACUUUCUGGUCUGUAACUGACGCUGAUGUGCGAAAGCGUGGGGAUCAAACAGGAUUAGAUACCCUGGUAGUCCACGCCGUAAACGAUGAGUGCUAAGUGUUA